GGAAUAUUGGACAAUGGGCGAAAGCCUGAUCUUGCCAUGCCGCGUGAGCGAUGAAGGCCUUAGGGUUGUAAAGCUCUUUCACCGGUGACGAUAAUGACGGUAGCCGGAGAAGCAGCCCCGGCUAACUCCGUGCCAGCAGCCGCGGUAAUACGGAGGGGGCUAGCGUUGUUCGGAAUUACUGGGCGUAAAGCGCGCGUAGGCGGACCAUCAAGUCAGGGGUGAAAUCCCGGGGCUCAACCCCGGAACUGCCUUUGAAACUGAUGGUCUUGAGGUCGAGAGAGGUGAGUGGAAUUCCGAGUGUAGAGGUGAAAUUCGUAGAUAUUCGGAGGAACACCAGUGGCGAAGGCGGCUCACUGGCUCGAUACUGACGCUGAGGUGCGAAAGCGUGGGGAGCAAAC
RNAcentral lists this ribosomal RNA (398 nucleotides) under uncultured bacterium. Its description in RNAcentral is "bacterial SSU rRNA". It matches the Rfam family "Bacterial small subunit ribosomal RNA", at positions 358 to 773 of the family's 1533-position model. The record is from RNAcentral.